CCUCGGAUCAGGUAGGGAUACCCGCUGAACUUAAGCA
This 37-nucleotide ribosomal RNA is filed under the name Ascochyta sp. 60i-229. RNAcentral's name for it is "partial 28S ribosomal RNA". Lineage: Eukaryota; Fungi; Ascomycota; Dothideomycetes; Pleosporales; Didymellaceae. The record is from RNAcentral. RNAcentral also lists the same sequence under 1 other name.